Molecule: long non-coding RNA, 219 nt
Filed under: Helianthus annuus (common sunflower)
Lineage: Eukaryota; Viridiplantae; Streptophyta; Magnoliopsida; Asterales; Asteraceae
Description: sRNA HanXRQr2_Chr16g0749941
Source: RNAcentral
GCACAACCAUAGAAACCUAGUUUUCAACAAUUCGACAGACGUAUCUUUUUCAGCCAGUGCCGCCGUACACAACCCUAGCUGGUAACGAUCGUUAACAAUGUUAGAGGAAAAGAGGCGACGUGAUCUCAGGGGAACUGAAGAACGUACAUGUUACUCGAUCAUAACAUGUUGAGAAUUCAUAGGUUAUAACAGGUAUCCCGUGCAAUCUGACUGCACAUG